UACAGGGGGUGCAAACGUUGCUCGGAAUUAUUGGGCGUAAAGCGCGCGUAGGCGGCUACUUAAGUCGGAUGUGAAAGCCCCUGGCUCAACUGGGGAAGUGCACCCGAGACUGAGUGGCUUGAGUGCGAAAGAGGGUCGCGGAAUUCCCGGUGUAGAGGUGAAAUUCGUAGAUAUCGGGAGGAACACCGGUGGCGAAGGCGGCGACCUGGGUCGACACUGACGCUGAGGCGCGAAAGCGUGGGGAGCGAACAGG
Molecule: ribosomal RNA, 253 nt
Filed under: uncultured bacterium
Lineage: Bacteria
Description: partial 16S ribosomal RNA
Rfam family: Bacterial small subunit ribosomal RNA
Source: RNAcentral